GUCAAGAUGGCCGAGUGGUCUAAGGCGCUACGUUCAGGUCGUAGUGUAUAGGUGUGGGUUCGAAUCACACUGCUGACA
Halichondria panicea is the source of this 78-nucleotide non-coding RNA. The record is from the annotation of a RefSeq genome assembly. Lineage: Eukaryota; Metazoa; Porifera; Demospongiae; Suberitida; Halichondriidae.